This is a non-coding RNA of Pelobates cultripes (western spadefoot toad), 247 nucleotides long. NCBI's taxonomy places the organism in Eukaryota, Metazoa, Chordata, Amphibia, Anura, Pelobatidae. The record is from the annotation of a GenBank genome assembly.
GUCAGAUUACUUCCGGUAUCAGCCUGUGAUGAAACUGUUAAUAGCUCCUGACUUAUUCCUCUUCUGCAAGAUCAGACUAAUAGUGCUUGAAAACGCCAUAAUUGAGAAGGGAAGGGAAUGAGGGGAUAAAUAAUAACAUAUUAGUAUAUAAUACGAAAAUGAAGUAUAUCAAAAGUACUUGAGGACAUAAUAUAUCCUAAAUAGAAUGCAUAUUUGCUAAAUACUUCUUAAUUUAAAAUUAAUAAAC